AGACUCGGGGUGCUGAUGUGCGCUGAACACAGAGGCUGAGAUUAUACCCAUAGAACCUGAUGCGGGUAAUGCCGUCGUAGGAAACAGAUGU
RNAcentral lists this non-coding RNA (91 nucleotides) under bovine gut metagenome. The record is from RNAcentral.